UACGUAGGCAGCAAGCGUUGUUCGGAGUUACUGGGCGUAAAGGGUGUGUAGGCGGUUCUUUAAGUUUGGUGUGAAAUCUCCCGGCUCAACUGGGAGGGUGCGCCGAAUACUGAGGGACUAGAGUACGGGAGAGGAAAGUGGAAUUCCUGGUGUAGCGGUGAAAUGCGUAGAUAUCAGGAGGAACACCGGUGGUGUAGACGGCUUUCUGGACCGUAACUGACGCUGAGACACGAAAGCGUGGGGAGCAAACAGG
This 253-nucleotide ribosomal RNA is filed under the name uncultured bacterium. RNAcentral's name for it is "partial 16S ribosomal RNA". It matches the Rfam family "Bacterial small subunit ribosomal RNA", at positions 524 to 776 of the family's 1533-position model. The record is from RNAcentral.